RNAcentral lists this ribosomal RNA (237 nucleotides) under uncultured bacterium. Its description in RNAcentral is "partial 16S ribosomal RNA". It matches the Rfam family "Bacterial small subunit ribosomal RNA", at positions 99 to 334 of the family's 1533-position model. The record is from RNAcentral.
CGAACGGGUGAGUAACGCGUGAGGAACCUGCCUCAAAGAGGGGGACAACAGUUGGAAACGACUGCUAAUACCGCAUAAGCCCACGGCUCGGCAUCGAGCAGAGGGAAAAGGAGUGAUCCGCUUUGAGAUGGCCUCGCGUCCGAUUAGCUGGUUGGUGAGGUAACGGCCCACCAAGGCAACGAUCGGUAGCCGGACUGAGAGGUUGAACGGCCACAUUGGGACUGAGACACGGCCCAG